RNAcentral lists this ribosomal RNA (456 nucleotides) under uncultured bacterium. Its description in RNAcentral is "bacterial SSU rRNA". It matches the Rfam family "Bacterial small subunit ribosomal RNA", at positions 340 to 786 of the family's 1533-position model. The record is from RNAcentral.
UACGGGAGGCAGCAGUGGGGAAUAUUGCACAAUGGGCGAAAGCCUGAUGCAGCUAUGCCGCGUGUAUGAAGAAGGCCUUAGGGUUGUAAAGUACUUUCAUCGGGGAGGAAAAAACAAAACUAAUAAUUUUAUUUCUUGACGUUACCCGAAAAAGAAGCACCGGCUAACUCCGUGCCAGCAGCCGCGGUAAUACGGAGGGUGCUAGCGUUAAUCAGAAUUACUGGGCGUAAAGAGCACGUAGGUGGUUUUUUUAAGUCAGAUGUGAAUCCCCUGGGCUUAACCUAGGAACUGCAUUUUGAAACUGAAAUACUAGAGUAUCGUAGAGGGAGGUAGAAUUCUAGGUGUAGCGGUGAAAUGCGUAGAUAUCUGGAGGAAUACCUGUGGCGAAAGCGGCCUCCUAAACGAAUACUGACACUGAGGUGCGAAAGCGUGGGGAGCAAACAGGGAUUAGAUACC